GGCGAGGUAGCUCAGUGGCAGAGCAGGGGACUCAUAAGCCCUUUGUCGUGGGUUCGACUCCCACCCUCGCCACAA
This 75-nucleotide transfer RNA is filed under the name Anaerolineaceae bacterium oral taxon 439. Its description in RNAcentral is "tRNA-Met". It matches the Rfam family "tRNA". From Rfam's summary of the family: Transfer RNA (tRNA) molecules are approximately 80 nucleotides in length. Their secondary structure includes four short double-helical elements and three loops (D, anti-codon, and T loops). Further hydrogen bonds mediate the characteristic L-shaped molecular structure. tRNAs have two regions of fundamental functional importance: the anti-codon, which is responsible for specific mRNA codon recognition, and the 3' end, to which the tRNAs corresponding amino acid is attached (by aminoacyl-tRNA synthetases). tRNAs cope with the degeneracy of the genetic code in two manners: having more than one tRNA (with a specific anti-codon) for a particular amino acid; and 'wobble' base-pairing, i.e. permitting non-standard base-pairing at the 3rd anti-codon position. The record is from RNAcentral. Lineage: Bacteria; Bacillati; Chloroflexota; Anaerolineae; Anaerolineales; Anaerolineaceae.